Molecule: non-coding RNA, 97 nt
Organism: Equus caballus (horse)
Lineage: Eukaryota; Metazoa; Chordata; Mammalia; Perissodactyla; Equidae
Source: Rfam
GUGGCUGGCGGCUGGGUGCCUUCUACUGGUGCUGUACAGAGGCUUUCCCUAAGGCUGCUGUGAGCCUGUAGGGUUUCCCCCUAGGCUACUAAGCUGG